Molecule: transfer RNA, 85 nt
Filed under: Candidatus Nutricula glyptotermitis
Lineage: Bacteria; Bacillati; Actinomycetota; Actinomycetes; Bifidobacteriales; Bifidobacteriaceae
Description: tRNA-Ser
Rfam family: tRNA
About the family: Transfer RNA (tRNA) molecules are approximately 80 nucleotides in length.
Source: RNAcentral
GGUAGCGUGUCAGAGCGGCCGAAUGAGCAGGUCUUGAAAACCUGUGUGGGGCAACCCACCCUGGGUUCGAAUCCCAGCGCUACCG